Long non-coding RNA from Eriocheir sinensis (Chinese mitten crab), 1426 nucleotides. RefSeq lists it as uncharacterized. Lineage: Eukaryota; Metazoa; Arthropoda; Malacostraca; Decapoda; Varunidae. The record is from RefSeq and is a predicted model, not a curated record. The transcript is spliced from 3 exons.
CAAGCCCAUUGUCUUUAUUGCUAAUGUGUUAGGCGCAUCGCAAGCUUCGAAAAUGGGUCACUGGGUGGUGUUCUAUGUUAGUGAUAAGUGUAUAUAUUUCUUCGACACAUACGCCCUGACCCCAUCAUUAUAUUCUAAGUACUUUCGAAGUUUCUUAAAUAAGCAUAAAGAUUAUCCUGUUUUUAAACUUGCCGCAAGAUUACAGUCGGACAAAACUCUGGUGUGUGGCGUGUAUUGCAUUCAAUUCGUAUACUUAUGUAAUAAAAUAGGCUUAGAGAGGACUAGUCAGUUUCUGAAAGAUAAUUAUGAUUUAGGAAAUUUUUUGAAGAAUGACAGAAAGGUGUUAACAUAUGCUUAUAGAAUGUUUAAAAUGCCCCCAUGUAUAAAAACAUUUUGUCAAUCUAGUCAAGGACUGACUUACAAGCAUUGUAUUUCUAAGAUAUGUGGCUAACUUAUUAAAUGCUACAAUGUGUGUGUGUGUGUGUAAAAAUGUAGAGCAGUAGCAUGUAGCUUAUUCAUUUAUGGCGUGUGUGUGCAAUUAUAUGUAGUUAUUAAGAACAGGAUUUUUUUUUUUUUUUCGUGCGAUGUGACCGGGUGGGUGUGAGUUUGUUCACGCUUUCCUAUGUGUAAAAAAAAUGUAGAGAAGUAGUAUAUAGCUUAUUCAUUUAUGGCGUGUGUGUGUAGUUAUAUGUAGUUAUUAAGAACAGGAUUCUGUUUUUUUUUUUUUCGUGCGACGUGACCGGGUGGGUGUGAGUUUGUUCACGCUUUCCUAUUGUUCGGAUGAAGAAUGGCUUGUGGUUUUGGGCAUGUGCGCGCGUGUUUGCAUACAUGUGUGGGCGUGUCCCCUAUAACCUGGGGUAGCCUCGGAAGAAGAAAAGGCUUGUGGUAGUGUGCGCAUAUGCCCCAAAUAACCCCGGGUAGCUUAGUCAGUCCCCUAACGUUGCGAGAGGAGCGUCAUGGAGGAAGUCUUCGCCGUCAUGAACUUACAACAACAACAACAACAACAGCCCCACGCUGCCGCUGCAACUCUUCAUGCUGACGAUGUUGACGAUCAGAUAAUGGGUCAAGCCGCAUUAGAAGUUGAAGCCAUGGAUAACACAUCCCAAGCUGAAGCCGUGGAUAACACAUCACAUCCCAGAAACGGAGCGGAUGUUGGUGGUGGUGAGGUGGGGGAUGUUCCAGAAACUCCCAAGUCUACCGGUGAACAUAUCACGGGCGAGUCAUUGGGCAACAACAACCGCGGCGCGUUGGGAGGUGUCGGUAAAAUGGGGCGGCGUGUGCUGAGGGAAGGAUGUGAUACCUCCAUUACCAGUGUCUCAUCUGAAGAACGACCCACCGGACAGCGUAACGCAUAUCCACGGCAACAACAACAGACACGCUUCGGUGAUGGUGUGUCUUGACUCUCCGUCGGGCGCUGAAUCGCGAG